CGCCAGGCAUCCGGGAGGCGGGACAAGGAAGCAGCCAAACAUAAACAUACACGGAGUUUCCCGGCGCCCAGUCUUGGGCAGCUGCGUGGGAGCCCCAAGCCCGAGCAAAUUCUCGGGGUCAACAGGAGGAGUCAGGGAAGGGGUCGGGCCGGCCGGAAAGCGGGGAGGCGGAACCCUGCGGGCCAGCCGGGACUCCCCGGGAGUACGUAUAGUCGGCCACAUGCUUCGCGUGCGCCUGCGCAGGGCGGGAGCCACCAGCCGGCGGCGCCGCCUGCUUAAGGUACCGACGGGUCUCGACCGGGGCGCCAAGGGGAGGCGGCCGCGGGCGGAGAGCAAGGCCUGUCCACGAGCCUCCCCGGCCUUCUGUGUGAUCAGCGAUGGAAAAGUUGCCAGCCUCGUCUAUCACAUAUGAGAGAAUAGUUUACAAAAAUUCUUUUGAACACCACUACAUGAAAGUCUGUUUGUAAGUUCAGUCUUAAAAGUUCUACUUUAGGUUUUUCUUUUUUUAUGAAUUGGAAGAGCAUGAAAUGGAAUAAUCUGUAUUUUUUGUUUUUAAUGUUUUUUUGCAGAGAAUUUCAAGAGCGUGGGGUUGGAUUGAAUGCAGCACAGUUCAAACAGCUGCUUAUUUCAGCCCUGAAGGACCUGUUUGGGGAGGUAUGGAAUCACCAAGUUCUUCGUAGAUUGAACAUUCUUAAGAUCUUUAUAUAAGAAAUACAGGAAGAAAGCCUUUCAAAACAUGUAUUUGGAAACUAUAAUCUAGUAUUGAAAAUUACAGAAGCAGGCUUUCAGACAUGAUGGACUUUUGGUAGGUAGACUUGGACCAAAGAACUUGUUAGAUGGGUGGCUGUUGCAGUACAGUGCUUCUCAACAGUAUGGUUCAGACUGACCACCUAUAAGCUGUUUUUUUGCCCAUUGCAAAGAGAUAAGGGGCUUCCGCCAGAAAGAAAAUCAGCAUACCUCUUCCUGUGGUGGGAAAAUCUUGUUAUGAAAAAAUGUCAGCUGAGCUACAGUGUGCUUAGUGAUAUUGUUGACUAACAUUCUUGUGCAAGCUCCUUAUCACAGACCAGCACUUUGAGUGGUACUGUUCUAGCAGUCACUUGAAAACAAAUGGAGUUUUGGAAGUCUAGAGAGAGCACAAAAACUGAGUAUUCUCAAGAAAUUAUUUCCAGAUUGAUCUGUCCUGUCAACUCAAAACCUUCUUUUUUUUUUUUUUUUUUUUAAAGAUUUAUUUAAUUCCCCCCCCUCCCCUGGUUGUCUGUUCUUGGUGUCUAUUUGCUGCGUCCUGUUUCUUUGUCCGCUUCUGUUGUCAGCAGCACGGGAAGUGUGGGCGGCGCCAUUCCUGGGCAGGCUGCACUUUCUUUUCACGCUGGGCGGCUUUCCUCACGGGCGCACUCCUUGCGCGUGGGGCUCCCCCACGCGGGGGACACCCUUGCGUGGCACGGCACUCCUUGUGCGCAUCAGCGCUGCGCAUGGCCAGCUCCACACGGGUCAAGGAGGCCCGGGGUUUGAACCGCGGACCUCCCAUAUGGUAGACGGACGCCC
Molecule: long non-coding RNA, 1542 nt
Filed under: Dasypus novemcinctus (nine-banded armadillo)
Lineage: Eukaryota; Metazoa; Chordata; Mammalia; Cingulata; Dasypodidae
Description: lncRNA (ENSDNOG00000052505.1)
Source: RNAcentral